Long non-coding RNA from Acinonyx jubatus (cheetah), 3129 nucleotides. RefSeq lists it as uncharacterized. The record is from RefSeq and is a predicted model, not a curated record. The transcript has 4 exons. Lineage: Eukaryota; Metazoa; Chordata; Mammalia; Carnivora; Felidae.
CUCUUAGGUAAAAGGGUUCCAGAACUGAAAAUGCAUUCAGGUGUGGGGACUGAGCAACAAAUGCUUGCCUCCUACUCCCUCAUCACUGGGACAAGAUCCCCAAGUAUAUGAUUGAGACCCUGUCUGGGGAGUGGAUAACUUCAACUGCAGAAAGAACAGAUGGAAACUGGCAUAGAUGAGGCAUGCACUUACUUUCACGGAGCAGGAGAGAGGACCAGCAUGGUGCUGGACAUGGCAUUGGGUCUCCAGAAGGAUGAGGACUCCAUCUUCCAAGACCAUGGUCCAUGGAAUGAGGGCCAAUGAGCACCAUCCUUUUAAGGGGGCCACAGGCAACAGGAAUCCUUAUGGAUAAACCAGAUUACAUAUAUGGGAACAUUCACAAGAACACCCUUAUAAUAACCAGCUACUGAAAAAAAACUCAAAUGUCUAUGGACAGAAGAAUGGAUGAAUAAAUUGUGGUGUUCCCAGUGGCUGUAUCUUAAUGUAGAUUGGGAACAAAGGACAUGUUAGAACUGCCAAGUACCACAGUCAACCUCUCAAAUGCUAUCAGCUUUGCCUGCAUCAGACAUCAGUGAAGAGAGUGAAACACGUGAAUAAAAGCAAAAGGUCUGUAAUAUGCAGGGCUUUAUUAGGCAGUUCUGAGUGAACUCCAAACAAAAUGUGUAAAAAGAUGAGGCAUCCCGGAAAGCCACCUCUAAUCAAGUCCGUGUGCCUUAGUGAAGCUCUACAUCACAAAGGAAACAGAAAACAAGAGUCCAGAUUGGGAAAGGUGUUCGUCUUCCGCCAGUACAACAUUCUUACUCCCUACAAAUUUACUGAAUCUAUAAAGACCUGAAGUUAAGCUCCUCCCAAGUCCAGAUUCAAUGUAAGCGCUGGUUCUGUGCAUUUAAUUAAUGAUCUUUGUAAAUAUUUGAAAGAUCGAAAUCGAUUGCAUGUGCUCGGCAUUUCUGCAGGCAUAGAUUCCAAACUUUAAGCAAGGAGACUGCCCCUUUCCGAUUUCAUCCGGGGUAGUUGAGGCGAGUUCGUCCUGUAAAUGCACAUCCUGACGCAUGAAGCAAAGGGCCAGGCUCCCCAAUUCCUUUCAAGGUUUUUAGCAGUCUUCAUUGAAAUAAAUGUACCGGAAACAGCAGAAGUAGAAAAUGGCACAAGGCGAUAACGUUUGCAUAAAGAAGCCAUUAGGAAGGUGUGCCAAUGGAACAAUUGUGUGAUGUUGCAUAACAAAUGCACACUUUCCUUUAGUUAUUUUAAAGAUUCCAUUUAUCUAGUGUUUUUUUUUUUGCAUUUAAAGAGCAUGAUGCUGAAUGAUUCUCCAUUCCUGAGAUGCCAGCACUUCUUGAAAAAACAUUCACAGAAUGAUUCAAAGCAUAAUAAAAGAGUAAAUCCAAUGUAAUAUUUAUCCAGCCUGAAUUUUCAGCUUUAAUACAUCCAAAGCCACCCCAUCCCCCAAUUUGCACAAUCACAGCUUAAUAAAGCACAUAUUUUAAACAGGCUGUUAAAAAUUGGUGAGAAAAGCCAGAAACAGAGCCACAGAACUCCCCCAAAUGCCCCCAAGAUGGAGACCACAUAGACUAGAAACUGGCUGGAACUUUCUAGGCACUGCCUUUUAAGUCCCUCUCUAGGGUAGGAGCUGAAAGGUCUCCAUCCCACUGAAGGCAGAGCAGGGGUGGUCCUGGGGAAAGGCUAAAUUCAGUUCACUGUUCAAAGAAGAAUUCAUGCAAAUGCUUAAUAAGUACAUGGAAAAGGCAGCCUCACAGGUAAUCAAGAACACAGAUUAAAAGGAGAAAUAUGUUUCUUGUCUAUCAAAUUAGCAACUAGUACAUGGCCUUCUAACUGGUUUUGCUCCCAUACUUGCCACCCUACUGUCUCAUCUGAGAUGCAUACAGCAGCCUGAGUGAUUCUGAUAAAUCUUGAGAAGCAUGGAGUAGCUUCUCUGGACUUCCUACCCUUGGUUUCCCACUAAGAACAACCCUCCAUCACCUCCUGCUGACUGGUGGCCACUCCAAGCACCUACUCAUCUCUUUCCCCUUCUUGCUGCUCUAUUUACAGCUUUUCCACCAGCCCUUGAAACUGUGGAGCAACACCAACCUCCUGGCCCUUGUACCUGCUCUCCCGGCCGUCUGGAAUGCUAUUUCCUUGGAUCCUCACAAGGCUUCAUUUCUCUCUGUUCUGGACUUAGAUGUUGUCUACCUAAACUAUUUAGAUAGCACCUCCACUGAAACAGCAUCACCCCACCAGCUCCCUACCCUGCUUUACUUUCUUCAUAGAACGUAUCCAUCCCUGCAUAACAGUCUACUCUAUAUUUAUUUACUUUCCCUGUCUUCCCACAAGAUCUGAGUGUCUGGAGGACAGGAAAUUCUUUUUGUUGUUGUUUGUGACUAUAUCUCAAGUGCCCAGAACAGCACACAAUAAAUAUAUGCCAAUGGAAUGGCUUUCAGUGGCUCAACCCAGGAUCAUCAAGGCUAUUCUACCUGUGUUCCCACGCAAGGAAGGUGGAGAAAGAUGUGGGCACAGUCAUGAUAGGAAAUCAUCUGGCAAUGUUAUCCAACACCUGCAAAGAGUUUAUUUUUUUUUAUUCAGUUUACCCGCUUUCAGAAACUUACACCAGAGCAAUAAUCAAAACAUUCAGGUGAAGAUUUCAAUAUAAAGAUACUUAUUAAAGUAUUAUUUGUGACUAUGACAAAUGGAAAUGACUGGAUAAAUAACAAUACUCCUAAUAUAGAAUGGCUACCACUUUUUCAGAAGUUAUUAAGUGUUGGGUAAAAGGCUAGGUUUUUAAAAUACUCCACAAACUAGUUGUAUCCAAUUUACAGAUGACGGCACUGAGGUAACUUGUCCAAGGCAUCAUUUGAUGCGUUUUAUGAAGCAUGGGGCCUCAAGUUCUUGCUGUCUGGACUGAGUUAAGAAAUAAUAAAUUGGAGGGGCGCCUGGGUGGCGCAGUCGGUUAAGCGUCCGACUUCAGCCAGGUCACGAUCUCGCGGUCCGUGAGUUCGAGCCCCGCGUCGGGCUCUGGGCUGAUGGCUCAGAGCCUGGAGCCUGUUUCCGAUUCUGUGUCUCCCUCUCUCUCUGCCCCUCCCCCGUUCAUGCUCUGUCUCUCUCUGUCCCAAAAAUAAAUAAACGUUGGAAAAAAAA